GGACUACUCGGGUAUCUAAUCCUGUUUGCUCCCCUAGCUUUCGCGCCUCAGCGUCAGUUAUGGUCCAGUGCGCCGCUUUCGCCACAGGUGUUUCUCCCUAUAUCUACGCAUUUCACCGCUACACCGGGAAUUCCACGCACCUCUCCCAUACUCCAGCACGGCAGUUUCGCCUGCAGACUCCGAGUUAAGCCCGGAGAUUUCACAGGUGACUUACCGCACCGCCUACGCGCCCUUUACGCCCAAUAAUUCCGAACAACGCUUGCACCCUACGUAUUACCGCGGCUGCUGGCAC
Molecule: ribosomal RNA, 292 nt
Filed under: uncultured Acidobacteriota bacterium
Lineage: Bacteria; Pseudomonadati; Acidobacteriota
Description: uncultured Acidobacteria bacterium partial 16S ribosomal RNA
Source: RNAcentral